UCCCUCGGGAAAUUCAUUAUCCGUCCCAUCAGCUAUCAUUCAUAAGUGCCUGACGGUUUCACUUUCCUAAAAACCUCCUUUUCCAUCCAAAGCAAUGCUCCCCUGAUUUCCAAAGAAUCAUUUCCGCUUCAAAACAUUUUACUCCGACGUUUUGAUUCCCAUGGAGCAAACACUCAUCUUCCUCACAAAGCUUCAGUCUGGUUCUCUGAUCCAUUCGUCUUCUAGCGUUUUGACUGCAUGACUUGGUACCGCACCUUCCAGGUAAAACCCUUUCCUUUGCUUCAGACUUCCAGUGGCUAUUAUAUCUGCCAAAUUGCUUGCUGUGUGAUGGACAUGCUGAAAUUUUAUGGAUUUGAACUCUCUCUGUAUAGUCUUUAUAUCGUGUAUGAUGGAGCAUAUUUCUGAUUUAUCUCUGGAUUUUGAAGUGCAUUUCCUUAUAACUGAAAUCGAGUCCCCUUCAAUAAAGAUUUUAUGUUCUUUCAUUUCUAACCCCAUUUUCACUGCCUCUAAACAUGCAUGUGCUUCUGCUGCGAAAGCCGAGUCAACAUUCUCGUAUAUGGUCGCUCUGGAGGCGAUCACUCUUUCCCUUCUGUUUCUGGCAACUAUUCCCGAGCUUGCUCUAAAAGCCCCCAAUUAAAACCCACAUCAAAGUUGAUUUUUAUGUCUUCUCCAGGAGGCAGAACCCAUGAGUCUCUGAUAGGUGCCUUGGACCCAAAGGGAUACGCAGAUCAUUCGCCUCUGGGGAUUUGAGCAAUCAUCAAAAGCCCAAGCAAGCCAUUCAAACCAGUCUGGAAUAGAUUUUGAAGUAACCAUUGUAAGUUCACUAAUUGCCAUACUUCUAUUGAAGCAGAGGACAAUGAAGAAAAACAUGUGUUAUGUUUUCUACUGCUUCCCCGCAUCUUGGGCAGUUUGUGUUUGUUACUAAUCUCUUGAAAUGUAGAUUUGUUUUCGUAGGGAUGUAAUUUCUUGUGAUGCGCUAUACUGUAAUCUGGAUUUUAGAAGGGAGUUUUAGGCUCCAUAGUUCUCGGUAGAAAUUCCUAGUUAAGAGUUGUAAUGUAUUUAGCGUAAGAGUAGGAAUACCCAAUUGUAAUAGUUUAUAGGCGCUUCGCACUGAGAAUACUCUCGAUGGUUCACCCUUCCAGGCUACUUCAUCUUCUUGUGGAAUUGCUGCUAAUGGGAUACGAAGGAUCCUGCCCACAUAAACCGCAUUAAAUGUAUUGGAGAUUAGUUUGCCCCUCCAUUCUCUUUUAUUACUAUCAAUAAGCUCUGCAACAUACUCCAAA
Gossypium raimondii (Peruvian cotton) is the source of this 1283-nucleotide RNA transcript. RefSeq lists it as uncharacterized. NCBI's taxonomy places the organism in Eukaryota, Viridiplantae, Streptophyta, Magnoliopsida, Malvales, Malvaceae. The record is from RefSeq and is a predicted model, not a curated record. The transcript has 2 exons.